CUACAGGUUUCAUUUUGUUGCAGACCUUAUUGGACUGAACAAAGGAAGAUGAAGGUAUUGCUGCCUUUAAGCCAGACCUGAUCAUUUUUCUGGAGCAAGGAAAAGAGCCCUGGAAUAUGAAGAGACAUAAGAUGGUGGAAGAACCCCCAGGAUAGG
Molecule: long non-coding RNA, 156 nt
Filed under: Pongo abelii (Sumatran orangutan)
Lineage: Eukaryota; Metazoa; Chordata; Mammalia; Primates; Hominidae
Description: lncRNA (ENSPPYG00000039670.1)
Source: RNAcentral